Molecule: ribosomal RNA, 342 nt
Filed under: Panthera pardus fusca
Lineage: Eukaryota; Metazoa; Chordata; Mammalia; Carnivora; Felidae
Description: partial 12S ribosomal RNA
Rfam family: Bacterial small subunit ribosomal RNA
Source: RNAcentral
AGCUUAAAACUCAAAGGACUUGGCGGUGCUUUAUAUCCCUCUAGAGGAGCCUGUUCUAUAAUCGAUAAACCCCGAUAAACCUCACCAUCUCUUGUUAAUUCAGCCUAUAUACCGCCAUCUUCAGCAAACCCUAAAAAGGAAGAAAAGUAAGCACAAGUGUCUUAACACAAAAAAGUUAGGUCAAGGUGUAGCCUAUGAGAUGGGAAGCAAUGGGCUACAUUUUCUACAACUAGAACAUCCACGAAAAUCCUUAUGAAAUUAAGUAUUCAAGGAGGAUUUAGUAGUAAAUUUGAGAAUAGAGAGCUCAAUUGAAUCGGGCCAUGAAGCACGCACACACCGCCC